RNAcentral lists this ribosomal RNA (391 nucleotides) under Clavicorona sp. 216-243. RNAcentral's name for it is "eukaryotic LSU rRNA". The stretch from base 1 to 105 matches the Rfam family "5.8S ribosomal RNA", at positions 50 to 154 of the family's 154-position model. Lineage: Eukaryota; Fungi; Basidiomycota; Agaricomycetes; Agaricales; Clavariaceae. The record is from RNAcentral.
GAAAUGCGAUAAGUAAUGUGAAUUGCAGAAUUCAGUGAAUCAUCGAAUCUUUGAACGCACCUUGCGCCCCUUGGUAUUCCGAGGGGCACGCCUGUUUGAGUGUCGUGAACUUCUCACCCCCACCCCCUUUUCGGAGGGCGGCUUGCGGGCGUGGACGUGGAGGCCUUGCCGGAAAAUGGGGGAAACUCCUUUUCGGCUCCUCUGAAAUGCAUUAGCGGAGACCCCAGCGUUGGGCCCCUUCGGCGUGAUAAUUGUCUACGUCGCAAGGUCAACGCGAGCGACUCCGCUUCGAACCCGCCCGUCGACGUGUACGCCGCGAGGCGCGCACGGCGCAGCGCAUGAAUUAACGAAACUUGACCUCAAAUCAGGCGGGACUACCCGCUGAACUUAA